RNAcentral lists this ribosomal RNA (253 nucleotides) under uncultured bacterium. Its description in RNAcentral is "partial 16S ribosomal RNA". It matches the Rfam family "Bacterial small subunit ribosomal RNA", at positions 524 to 776 of the family's 1533-position model. The record is from RNAcentral.
UACGUAGGGGGCAAGCGUUGUCCGGAAUCAUUGGGCGUAAAGCGCGUGUAGGCGGCUCGAUAAGUCUGCUGUGAAAGUCCAGGGCUCAACCCUGGGAUGCCGGUGGAUACUGUCGAGCUCGAGUCCGGAAGAGGCGAGUGGAAUUCCUGGUGUAGCGGUGAAAUGCGCAGAUAUCAGGAGGAACACCGGUGGCGAAGGCGCACACCUGGCCCGAUACUGACGCUGAGGCGCGAAAGCUAGGGGAGCAAACGGG